This 402-nucleotide ribosomal RNA is filed under the name uncultured bacterium. RNAcentral describes it as "partial 16S ribosomal RNA". It matches the Rfam family "Bacterial small subunit ribosomal RNA", at positions 355 to 774 of the family's 1533-position model. The record is from RNAcentral.
UGGGGAAUAUUGGACAAUGGGCGAAAGCCUGAUCCAGCCAUGCCGCGUGUGUGAAGAAGGCCUUUGGGUUGUAAAGCUCUUUUAGUGAGGAAGAUAAUGACGGUACUCACAGAAGAAGUCCUGGCUAACUCCGUGCCAGCAGCCGCGGUAAUACGGAGAGGGCUAGCGUUAUUCGGAAUUAUUGGGCGUAAAGGGCGCGUAGGCUGGUUAAUAAGUUAAAAGUGAAAUCCCGAGGCUUAACCUUGGAAUUGCUUUUAAAACUAUUAAUCUAGAGAUUGAAAGAGGAUAGAGGAAUUCCUGAUGUAGAGGUAAAAUUCGUAAAUAUUAGGAGGAACACCGGUGGCGAAGGCGUCUAUCUGGUUCAAAUCUGACGCUGAAGCGCGAAGGCGUGGGGAGCAAACA